RNAcentral lists this antisense RNA (190 nucleotides) under Ricinus communis (castor bean). RNAcentral's name for it is "Antisense RNA which regulates isiA expression". It matches the Rfam family "Antisense RNA which regulates isiA expression". The record is from Rfam by way of RNAcentral. Lineage: Eukaryota; Viridiplantae; Streptophyta; Magnoliopsida; Malpighiales; Euphorbiaceae.
AAUAACCGAAAAUAAUACUUGGGCUAAGGGUUAAGUUAGUAAUUUUUCUUACAUCUCCCCCCCCCCCCGGAGCCCAGGUAUCAUAUACGCCCCCAAAAUAAAGAGCCUUGAAUACUAGAAGAAAAGCACCUAUACCUAGCAAGAUUAAGUGAAUACCUAAAUUUGUUGUCAUUUUAUUUCUAUCUUUCCA